Molecule: ribosomal RNA, 110 nt
Filed under: Escherichia coli
Lineage: Bacteria; Pseudomonadati; Pseudomonadota; Gammaproteobacteria; Enterobacterales; Enterobacteriaceae
Also listed under: 3 other names
Source: RNAcentral
UCUGGCGGCAGUAGCGCGGUGGUCCCACCUGACCCCAUGCCGAACUCAGAAGUGAAACGCCGUAGCGCCGAUGGUAGUGUGGGGUCUCCCCAUGCGAGAGUAGGGAACUG